UACGUAGGGUGCAAGCGUUGUUCGGAAUUACUGGGCGUAAAGGGCGCGUAGGCGGCGUGACAAGUCACUUGUGAAAUCUCCGGGCUUAACUCGGAACGGUCAAGUGAUACUGUCGUGCUAGAGUACAGAAGGGGCAACUGGAAUUCUCGGUGUAGCGGUGAAAUGCGUAGAUAUCGAGAGGAACACCUGCGGCGAAGGCGGGUUGCUGGGCUGAUACUGACGCUGAGGCGCGAAAGCCAGGGGAGCGAACGGG
This 253-nucleotide ribosomal RNA is filed under the name uncultured bacterium. RNAcentral describes it as "partial 16S ribosomal RNA". It matches the Rfam family "Bacterial small subunit ribosomal RNA", at positions 524 to 776 of the family's 1533-position model. The record is from RNAcentral.